AGCCUGAUCCAGCCAUGCCGCGUGUGUGAAGAAGGCCUUCGGGUUGUAAAGCACUUUCAGCGAGGAAGAACGCCUUGGGAUUAAUACUCCCGAGGAAAGACAUCACUCGCAGAAGAAGCACCGGCUAACUCCGUGCCAGCAGCCGCGGUAAUACGGAGGGUGCAAGCGUUAAUCGGAAUUACUGGGCGUAAAGCGCGCGUAGGUGGCUAAGUCAGCCAGGUGUGAAAGCCCCGGGCUCAACCUGGGAACGGCAUCUGGAACUGCUUGGCUAGAGUGCAGGAGAGGAAGGUAGAAUUCCCGGUGUAGCGGUGAAAUGCGUAGAGAUCGGGAGGAAUACCAGUGGCGAAGGCGGCCUUCUGGACUGACACUGACACUGAGGUGCGAAAGCGUGGGUAGCAAACAGGAUUAGAUACCCUGGUAGUCCACGCCGUAAACGAUGUCAACUAGCCGUUGGGUCCCUUGAGGACUUAGUGGCGCAGCUAACGCAAUAAGUUGACCGCCUGGGGAGUACGGCCGCAAGGUUAAAACUCAAAUGA
Molecule: ribosomal RNA, 536 nt
Filed under: Cobetia sp.
Lineage: Bacteria; Pseudomonadati; Pseudomonadota; Gammaproteobacteria; Oceanospirillales; Halomonadaceae
Description: bacterial SSU rRNA
Rfam family: Bacterial small subunit ribosomal RNA
Source: RNAcentral